This 714-nucleotide ribosomal RNA is filed under the name Triticum aestivum (bread wheat). RNAcentral describes it as "partial small subunit ribosomal RNA". The record is from RNAcentral. Lineage: Eukaryota; Viridiplantae; Streptophyta; Magnoliopsida; Poales; Poaceae.
AUGUACCGAGGAUACCAUGCGCUGGACAACUUAAGGCACCGUGCCCUCCAAGUCAGUGCAGGCUUCGAAGAGGUUUCCAUCAACAACUCAUCUGGCAGCAGCCUAUAUUUAGCCAAGUGCUCUCGAAGUACAAAUGAUAAGGUCACACGCUUCGAGUCACAUGGUGCCUUGGAAAGCUUAGAAAUUGCUAUUGCUAAUAUGUCAGAAUUUAUUGUUCUUCUUGGUGGAUAUGAUUGGAACGGGUUUUACUUAUUUGCCAUUGGAAUGGGAAGAGGAAGCAAGAUCGUCAUCUUAAGUAGACUUAAAACAUUAGCUCGAUUCGGAUUAGUGAAACCUAUUUUUCUAAGUGCAAUGUCUAGCGACGAGUUGAAGUACCUUUUCAAGACACUGGCAUUGAGCGUAGACCCCACAGAACAUCCACGGCUAGUAAAACUAGCAGAUGAAUUUGGCAAGCUGUUGCACAAUGUGCCUGAUACACUUAUCGCAAUAAAUAUACUCGCAAAUGUGUUGAGAAUGAACCUCAAUGUUCAGUAUUGGCUUUGCAUAUUGGACAAAGGUCUAAGAUACAUUAAAAGAAACCUCUCCACAUAUAGUGUGCAACCAAGCAUGCUUUUAGAAGAAGACCAUCCAGUGGACAUAACAGAUUUUGCUUUGCAUCCACGUAGCAUGAUACCUUGUACAUCUAAUUUUUCAAUCAAGAAGGAACAAGUCUAA